This 440-nucleotide ribosomal RNA is filed under the name uncultured bacterium. RNAcentral describes it as "bacterial SSU rRNA". It matches the Rfam family "Bacterial small subunit ribosomal RNA", at positions 28 to 507 of the family's 1533-position model. The record is from RNAcentral.
GAUGAACGCUGGCGGUAUGCCUAACACAUGCAAGUCGUACGAGAGUUUUUAACUCUAGUGGCGGACGGGUGAGUAACACGUGAGAAUUUGCCUUUAGGAGGGGGACAACAAUUGGAAACGAAUGCUAAUACCCCAUAUGCUUUCGAGUGAAAUGGAUUUUAUCCGCCUAGAGAGAAGCUCGCGGCUGAUUAGCUUGUUGGUAAGGUAAGAGCUUACCAAGGCGACGAUCAGUAUCUGGUUUGAGAGGACGAUCAGACACACUGGAACUGAGACACGGUCCAGACUCCUACGGGAGGCAGCAGUGGGAAUUUUCCGCAAUGGGCGAAAGCCUGACGGAGCAAUACCGCGUGAGGGAAGAAUGCCUAUGGGUUGUAAACCUCUUUUUUCAGGGAGGAAUAAAAUGACGUGUACCUGAAGAAUAAGCAUCGGCUAACUCCGUG